This 216-nucleotide long non-coding RNA is filed under the name Lathyrus oleraceus (garden pea). RNAcentral's name for it is "Pisum sativum (pea) long non-coding RNA (PSAT_LNC006741)". The record is from RNAcentral. Lineage: Eukaryota; Viridiplantae; Streptophyta; Magnoliopsida; Fabales; Fabaceae.
UUAAGGUGUCGGUAUAAUGGUUAUUGAAACUGAUCUGUAGAAGUGAGGGAUCUAGGGUGUCGGGACGGUAUCAAUCUUGUUAGAUCUUUCUCAAUUUUCCUAACAAAACCUCCGUAAGACAACCUAUAUACUUGUAGGGUAUGCAUUUAAUCUUAAGGAUUUUUUUUUUGUUAUGCCAAAAUAUCUAUAAAUGAUUAAUAAGGACAAACAAUUUUU